RNAcentral lists this unclassified non-coding RNA (511 nucleotides) under uncultured fungus. RNAcentral describes it as "partial contains 18S rRNA, ITS1, 5.8S rRNA, ITS2, and 26S rRNA". The stretch from base 31 to 309 matches the Rfam family "Group I catalytic intron". From Rfam's summary of the family: Group I catalytic introns are large self-splicing ribozymes. They catalyse their own excision from mRNA, tRNA and rRNA precursors in a wide range of organisms. Lineage: Eukaryota; Fungi. The record is from RNAcentral.
AGAGACACUGUNCACCCCGAACGGGAGGCAGCACGACGAUAAACAAAGCUCGCCGCGUGCAAGUUGGCCGCACGGUCAGCAACACGAUCGAAUUGACGGGGACCUCCUAAAGCCUGCAACACCAACCGUCCGGGGAAACUCGGGCGGGGCCCUCACGGGGUGGUAAGAGAGUGCAGGAUGAACAAUGGACGAUCCGCAGCGAAGACCCUACCGGCGAGAGCCCACGGGUACCGUUCACAGACUAAGUGAUUGUGGGCGGGGCAUCAGGCCCCGUCUAAGAUAUAGUCGGUCUCUGCUCGAAAGAGCAGAGCCUAGCGCGUCCGUAGGUGAACCUGCGGAAGGAUCAUUAAAGAAUCGCCCCGUUUUUUGAAAUGGGUUCUAUUCCCAAACCGUGUAUACAUACCUUUGUUGCUUUGGCAGGCCGCCUUUUAGGCGUCGGCUCCGGCUGACUGCGCCUGCCAGAGGACCCAAACUCGUUUGUNUAGUGAUGUCUGAGUACUAUAUAAUAGUU